This 492-nucleotide ribosomal RNA is filed under the name uncultured bacterium. RNAcentral describes it as "partial 16S ribosomal RNA". It matches the Rfam family "Bacterial small subunit ribosomal RNA", at positions 29 to 507 of the family's 1533-position model. The record is from RNAcentral.
AGUGAACGCUGGCGGUAGGCCUAACACAUGCAAGUCGAACAGCAGCACAGUAAGAGCUUGCUCUUACGGGUGGCGAGUGGCGGACGGGUGAGGAAUACAUCGGAAUCUACUUUUUCGUGGGGGAUAACGUAGGGAAACUUACGCUAAUACCGCAUACGACCUACGGGUGAAGGCAGGGGAUCUUCGGACCUUGCGCGAUUGAAUGAGCCGAUGUCGGAUUAGCCAGUUGGCGGGGUAAAGGCCCACCAAGGCGACGAUCCGUAGCUGGUCUGAGAGGAUGAUCAGCCACACUGGAACUGAGACACGGUCCAGACUCCUACGGGAGGCAGCAGUGGGGAAUAUUGGACAAUGGGCGCAAGCCUGAUCCAGCCAUACCGCGUGGGUGAAGAAGGCCUUCGGGUUGUAAAGCCCUUUUGUUGGGAAAGAAAAGCAGCAGGUUAAUACCCCGCUGUUCUGACGGUACCCAAAGAAUAAGCACCGGCUAACUUCGUG